UGGGGAAUAUUGCACAAUGGGCGCAAGCCUGAUGCAGCCAUGCCGCGUGUGUGAAGAAGGCCUCCGGGUUGUAAAGCACUUUCAGCGGGGAGGAAGGCGUUAAGGUUAAUAACCUUGGCGAUUGACGUUACCCGCAGAAGAAGCACCGGCUAACUCCGUGCCAGCAGCCGCGGUAAUACGGAGGGUGCAAGCGUUAAUCGGAAUUACUGGGCGUAAAGCGCACGCAGGCGGUUUGUUAAGUCAGAUGUGAAAUCCCCGGGCUCAACCUGGGAACUGCAUCUGAUACUGGCAAGCUUGAGUCUCGUAGAGGGGGGUAGAAUUCCAGGUGUAGCGGUGAAAUGCGUAGAGAUCUGGAGGAAUACCGGUGGCGAAGGCGGCCCCCUGGACGAAGACUGACGCUCAGGUGCGAAAGCGUGGGGAGCAAACAGG
This 429-nucleotide ribosomal RNA is filed under the name Chloroflexota bacterium. RNAcentral's name for it is "Chloroflexi bacterium partial 16S ribosomal RNA". It matches the Rfam family "Bacterial small subunit ribosomal RNA", at positions 355 to 776 of the family's 1533-position model. Lineage: Bacteria; Bacillati; Chloroflexota. The record is from RNAcentral.